RNAcentral lists this transfer RNA (82 nucleotides) under Canis lupus familiaris (dog). It matches the Rfam family "tRNA". Rfam says of the family: Transfer RNA (tRNA) molecules are approximately 80 nucleotides in length. Their secondary structure includes four short double-helical elements and three loops (D, anti-codon, and T loops). The record is from Rfam by way of RNAcentral. RNAcentral also lists the same sequence under 1 other name. Lineage: Eukaryota; Metazoa; Chordata; Mammalia; Carnivora; Canidae.
GCCUGGAUGGCUCAGUGGUUGAGCAUCUGCCUUCGGAGCAGGGCGUGAUCUCGGAGCCUGGGAUCGAGUCCCACAUCGGGCU